This is a long non-coding RNA of Sarcophilus harrisii (Tasmanian devil), 2280 nucleotides long. RefSeq lists it as uncharacterized. The transcript has 2 exons. The record is from RefSeq and is a predicted model, not a curated record. Lineage: Eukaryota; Metazoa; Chordata; Mammalia; Dasyuromorphia; Dasyuridae.
CAUCUGGGAAGGAGGGAGUUUGCGAGUCUUGUUGGUUUUCUUGAGUGUGGCAGCAGACUUGUGAUUUCAUUUGUACAGGGAAUUCCCAGAUGAGGAAACUCCUUUGGAAAACGUGUAUCAGUUUCCUAGAGCACUGAGAAGUGACGUGCUCAGGGAUAAAAAGCUAGUGGAUAUUAGAAGCUGAACUUAAAGCUGCAUUUCCUGGCUCUAAGACCAGCCCAUUUCUUUGUGGGUUGUAUAAUCAGGGAAAGAAAAAAAAAAGAAGAAAAAAAAAGUGUAAUUUCCUGCCUAAAAUGGGAGGCACCUUUCUCAGAAGGGGUGGAACCAAAGCUGAUUGAAGCCUUCUACUAAAACAGGCCCUCAAAUCUCUCAUAUGGGACUGAAGUUUUUAAACUGCUUUUAAUUAACCAAAGGAAGUCGCACUUAAACCAGGUGUGCAGUCUCCCUCCUCAUACACCUUGCUUUUUCAAAGCCGUAUUUUGCUUUCUGCCAGAUUCUGAGAGGCCAGUGUCUGCUACUGCAGAUGCUUCUACCAAAGGAAGAGUCUCUGAAUAAUGUGAAAUGUGAGCAUUUACAAGAAAUGGAAACAUACUGGUUAUGAACAAUGAAGUCCAGGAACAAGUGACGAUGAGGGCUUUGAGAAACAACUACAGCUGGAAGAAAGAAAAAAACUGGCACCUAAUUAUAUAACUGGACAAGACUAUGCUCUCUUUAUCAAUGUUUCUUUGAAUUUGAAAGGGGUUACAUGCUGAAGAACAUGGAUUCUAUUUUUAUUAUAAUGAUUAUUGCUAUUCCUGCUACAUUUAUUUUUUGUCUUUUAUUGCGUUGUUUUUUGUGCCCUAAGACUUCACAUAAUACCAGUCAGAAGCAUAAUUCAUCAGGAAUUUGUAGUCUUGGGAGAAGAAAUGAUGCUUGGGGAGAAGAUAAUGUUUGUGGAAGAGUUCAUUUUUGGGGAGGAGGUCAUGCUUUUGGAAGAGCUGAUUUCUGGGGAGGAGAUGAUGAUUAUAAAGCAGAUGAUUCCAGGAGAGGUGGUGAUUUUUGUACAAUAGUUGAUUCCUAUGGAAGAGAUAUUACUUGUGGAGGAGAUAAUUCCUGGGGAGGAGGUGAUGCUUGUACAGGAAAUUAUUCUUGGGGAGGUGGUCAUGCUUGUGAAAUAGAUUACUGUGGGGGAGGUGAUGCCUUUGGAGGAGGUGAUUCUUGUGGAGGAUGUGAUUCUGGGGGAGGAGGUGAUGCUUGUGGAGGAGAUGGUUAAUGCACAAAAAUAAUACAGGGUAAGGAAAUGAUUAUUAUGGCUGACUGACUUGAACAAUGUGUUACCCUCUGUCCAUUCAGUGACCCACAUCUUGUACCUGAUGAGCUUUCUUUAGUCCUUGUUUUCUUCUGGGGUGAAAAUUCAGUACCAAGUCAAAAGAGUCCAUUUGAGCAGGAGAAAUCCAUUUUUACAAAAAGAUGGGAUAUCUAAGUAUGAAGAAUAACAAAACUCCUACAUUGUGAUAAAUCACAUGUAAACAAAUAAUGGGCCAAAAAGAACUAUAGGAAACUUUGAAUUGUGACCAAAAUAUCAAGAAUUCAUAUACUCUUUUUAAGUAAAGCAGAUAGAAAGCUUUAUUUUUUUUUGAAGGAACAAAGAAAUAAAAGGUUAUUCAUUUGGGAUAUAAUGAAUUAUUUGCCACAGUUUUUCUGAGGAGAUAUUGUAGAGAGCCCUUUCCCAAAAUGGUUUCUGAAACAAUGAAGUCAGAGAAUCUCUUUUUAGAUUGUGAUAAACACGAUCAGUGGUUUUCAAAAUCUUUAUCCUAUUAAAAAUGAUUGAGGAUCUGUCCCAAGAGUUUUAGUUUAUGUGGGUUAUAGUUAUAGAUAUUGAUCAAUUAAAAAUAAAAACUAAUUAUGAAUUUGUAGACUCUCUGAAAGGAUUUCAGAAAUUCCCAGGCUGCUCUGGACUAGACUUUGAGAACCACUGCUCUAGAUCUAUUUGGCAAAAUAAGCCUUAGCAUCAAAAAAUAUCUACCCAAAAUUUUUGAAGGACUCUGAAGAUUUUUCCCCCUCUGGGAAAUGUAAUAGUAAAUGGCAAACAUGCUAGAUUCAGGGAACAAAUAGUUUCUGAGGGAAUCCUAGAAGCUACAGACUUCAUGUCAAGUCAACCAUGAGGAUCACAGAGAGAGCUUAUUGAGAUCCUAUACUUCUUUCAAGACAAUACUCAUGUUUCCUCCUCCCUGAAGUGUUUUUGAUGAUUGCAACUGAAGGUAUCUAUUCCUGUUCAAGUUAUAGUAGAAAAAUUUGUAG